GCCUCGGUGGUGUAGUGGUUAGAGCACGCGUCCACGGAUAGGAUGGAACGCGUGUUUCGAUUCCCGCCUGAGGCC
Parelaphostrongylus tenuis is the source of this 75-nucleotide non-coding RNA. The record is from the annotation of a GenBank genome assembly. Lineage: Eukaryota; Metazoa; Nematoda; Chromadorea; Rhabditida; Metastrongylidae.